This 253-nucleotide ribosomal RNA is filed under the name uncultured bacterium. RNAcentral's name for it is "partial 16S ribosomal RNA". It matches the Rfam family "Bacterial small subunit ribosomal RNA", at positions 524 to 776 of the family's 1533-position model. The record is from RNAcentral.
UACGUAGGGUGCGAGCGUCGUCCGGAAUUAUUGGGCGUAAAGGGCUCGUAGGCGGUCUGUCACGUCGGGAGUGAAAACUCAGGGCUUAACCCUGAGCCUGCUUCCGAUACGGGCAGACUAGAGGUAUGCAGGGGAGAACGGAAUUCCUGGUGUAGCGGUGAAAUGCGCAGAUAUCAGGAGGAACACCGGUGGCGAAGGCGGUUCUCUGGGCAUUACCUGACGCUGAGGAGCGAAAGCGUGGGGAGCAAACAGG